AAUGCCUGGAAAAAUGGAUUACGCUAAUUUUUGGAGGAAUGGAGGUGUUAAGUGACUUGCCCAGGAUCACACAACUAUGGCUAGAGUACUAUCAGCAUGGGAGUCACCAAGCAACUCAUUUCCAAUCUUCAGCCAUGUAAUUAACAGCAAAGAUGAAUAGAUACAACAAGAAAAUUCAUUUGCACAGCACUGGUGGUUCUAUUGGUGUGUUAUCCAGGAUAGAUGUUCCAUAAUUUUAUUUUACCUUUCAUUUGAUAGCCUUAAUUGGGUGACCCUGAUAAAUUUAAGGAAGCAGGCAAACAGCCUUUGCUCAUCAGCUCUGUAAGACAGAUCAUUCAUUUCUUGAACUAUAGUCUAACCAAUUAUAUCUAAGUAAACUUCAGAUAAGAUUUCAGGAGCAAGAUAUAGCCUUUCUUAUUUCUCUGAUAUCACUUUCUUUUAACAUUGAUGUUACUUAGACUUUGAAAAAAAUUCACCUUUUAAUAAAAUGAAGUUUCUUGAU
RNAcentral lists this long non-coding RNA (502 nucleotides) under Monodelphis domestica (gray short-tailed opossum). RNAcentral's name for it is "lncRNA (ENSMODG00000042079.1)". The record is from RNAcentral. Lineage: Eukaryota; Metazoa; Chordata; Mammalia; Didelphimorphia; Didelphidae.